CCCUUAGAUGUUCUGGGCUGCACGCGCGCUACACUGAUGCAUGCAACGAGUUUUCGACCUUGCCUGAAAAGGUUGGGUAAUCUGUUUAACAUGUGUCGUGAUGGGGAUAGACCAUUGCAAUUAUUGAUCUUCAACGAGGAAUUCCUAGUAAGCGCGAGUCAUCAGCUCGUGCUGAUUAUGUCCCUGCCCUUUGUACACACCGCCCGUCGCUCCUACCGAUUGAAUGAUCCGAUGAAUAUCAUGGAUUGAGGAUGCAAGCAGGUUCGCCUGUCUUCAUCUUCGAGAAGUGAAGUAAAUCUUAUCAUUUAGAGGAAGGAGAAGUCGUAACA
RNAcentral lists this ribosomal RNA (329 nucleotides) under uncultured eukaryote. Its description in RNAcentral is "partial 18S ribosomal RNA". It matches the Rfam family "Eukaryotic small subunit ribosomal RNA", at positions 1470 to 1796 of the family's 1831-position model. The record is from RNAcentral.